AUUGAACGCUGGCGGCAUGCUUUACACAUGCAAGUCGGACGGCAGCAUAAAAGAGCUUGCUCUUUUGAUGGCGAGUGGCGAACGGGUGAGUAAUGCAUCGGAACGUACCGAGUAGUGGGGGAUAACUGUCCGAAAGGAUGGCUAAUACCGCAUAUUCUCUGAGGAGGAAAGCAGGGGACCUUAGGGCCUUGCGCUAUUUGAGCGGCCGAUGUCUGAUUAGCUAGUUGGUGGGGUAAGAGCCCACCAAGGCGACGAUCAGUAGCGGGUCUGAGAGGAUGAUCCGCCACACUGGGACUGAGACACGGCCCAGACUCCUACGGGAGGCAGCAGUGGGGAAUUUUGGACAAUGGGCGCAAGCCUGAUCCAGCCAUGCCGCGUGUAUGAAGAAGGCCUUCGGGUUGUAAAGUACUUUUGUCAGGGAAGAAAAGCCUGAGGAUAACACCCUCAGGUCAUGACGGUACCUGAAGAAUAAGCACCGGCUAACUACGUGCCAGCAGCCGCGGUAAUACGUAGGGUGCGAGCGUUAAUCGGAAUUACUGGGCGUAAAGCGAGCGCAGACGGUUAUUUAAGCAAGAUGUGAAAGCCCCGGGCUCAACCUGGGAACUGCGUUUUGAACUGGGUAACUAGAGUGUGUCAGAGGGGGGUAGAAUUCCACGUGUAGCAGUGAAAUGCGUAGAGAUGUGGAGGAAUACCGAUGGCGAAGGCAGCCCCCUGGGAUAACACUGACGUCCAUGCUCGAAAGCGUGGGUAGCAAACAGG
Molecule: ribosomal RNA, 759 nt
Filed under: uncultured Neisseriaceae bacterium
Lineage: Bacteria; Pseudomonadati; Pseudomonadota; Betaproteobacteria; Neisseriales; Neisseriaceae
Description: bacterial SSU rRNA
Rfam family: Bacterial small subunit ribosomal RNA
Source: RNAcentral